UCAAAGGAUAAAAGGUACUCCGGGGAUAACAGGCUGAUCUCCCCCAAGAGCUCAUAUCGACGGGGAGGUUUGGCACCUCGAUGUCGGCUCGUCACAUCCUGGGGCUGGAGAAGGUCCCAAGGGUUGGGCUGUUCGCCCAUUAAAGUGGCACGCGAGCUGGGUUCAGAACGUCGCAAGACAGUUCGGUCUCUAUCUAUUGUGGGCGUUGGAAUAUUGAAGAGCUCUGACACUAGUACGAGAGGACCGUGUUGGACGAACCUCUAGUGUACCUGUUGUGACGCCAGUUGCAUCGCAGGGUAGCUAUGUUCGGAAUGGAUAAGCACUGAAAGCAUCUAAGUGCGAAGCCAUCUCUAAGAUGAGUAUUCCAUGGAAGUAAUUCCUGAAGGGUCGUAGAAGAUUACUACGUUGAUAGGCUAUAGGUGGAAGUGCAGUGAUGUAUGGAGCCAAGUAGUACUAAUUACCCGACAGCUUCCUUUUU
This 478-nucleotide ribosomal RNA is filed under the name Saprospiraceae bacterium. Its description in RNAcentral is "partial 23S ribosomal RNA". It matches the Rfam family "Bacterial large subunit ribosomal RNA", at positions 2449 to 2925 of the family's 2925-position model. The record is from RNAcentral. Lineage: Bacteria; Pseudomonadati; Bacteroidota; Saprospiria; Saprospirales; Saprospiraceae.